UUGAAGCAUAAAGAGUGUUCAAGAAUAUUUGUAAUAGUCUAUAAGCUUCUUAGAAGCAAUGCCUUCAUUUUUGUCUUUUUUCAUCCAUAGGGAUGCUUUUUGAGUGAAUAAUAGAACAUUCCAGGAACUGCUAUGGGCAGUAAAGAAAAUAUUGACACUUUGAGUGGUCCUGUGAAUCUGGAGGACUGAGAGGAUCAUUCUCCAAUAGAGAAAGCAGGGAUGAUGUGAUACCUUAAAAGGCAAUACCUCUUUUAUCUGCCUCAUCUAGCAACAAUUCAGCAUGUAUUUGGGAACAUGAUGAUUUCUGCUUCUUCAGUUUCUGCUCUGAGAGAGCAAGUUUACCCUCAUUUCCUGUGCUUUCAUCACAAGGGCAGGACCCCAGGUCCGAUGGGAAGAAUUCUGGCAUCCUCUGGCUGCUAGGUUUUCACCUUGGCAAAGAUUAAAAUUUAGAUGGUUGUCCUCAUGUGUCACAGACACAGAACAUGAAAGGUUCAAACAAUGGUUGUACCAAUUACCAUAGGGGGCUAAUUAAGAGUGCUUUGUUUAUUUUGCUACAUUAAUAUAAGUUAAUUUUCAUAUAUUGGAUUACAGGCCUUCUAGGGGAAGGGGGGUGGG
This is a long non-coding RNA of Sarcophilus harrisii (Tasmanian devil), 615 nucleotides long. RefSeq lists it as uncharacterized. The transcript has 3 exons. NCBI's taxonomy places the organism in Eukaryota, Metazoa, Chordata, Mammalia, Dasyuromorphia, Dasyuridae. The record is from RefSeq and is a predicted model, not a curated record.